This 164-nucleotide small nuclear RNA is filed under the name Salmo salar (Atlantic salmon). RNAcentral describes it as "U1 spliceosomal RNA". It matches the Rfam family "U1 spliceosomal RNA". Rfam says of the family: U1 is a small nuclear RNA (snRNA) component of the spliceosome (involved in pre-mRNA splicing). Its 5' end forms complementary base pairs with the 5' splice junction, thus defining the 5' donor site of an intron. The record is from Rfam by way of RNAcentral. Lineage: Eukaryota; Metazoa; Chordata; Actinopteri; Salmoniformes; Salmonidae.
AUACUUAGCUGGCAAGGGAGACACCGUGAUCAAGAAGGCGCUUCACCCAGGGCGAGGCUCAGCUUGUGCACUCCGGCUGUGCUGACCCCUGCGAAUUUCCCAAAUGUGGAAUUCUCGAUUGCAUAAUUUCUGGUAGUGGGGGACUGCGUUCGCGCUCUCCCCUG